Molecule: long non-coding RNA, 1470 nt
Organism: Mauremys mutica (yellowpond turtle)
Lineage: Eukaryota; Metazoa; Chordata; Testudines; Geoemydidae
Exons: 3
Source: RefSeq, a predicted model, not a curated record
GGUCACGUUGCUAAGGUGUGGGCUGCUGGCAGUGCAGGGGCGGUGGCUUUAGAGAAGGUUGUCAAGUGAGUCAUUCCAUGCUUCUAAGCCCGUAUCCGGCUACUUGUCCUUAAAACGGUUCCUUCUGCAGAGUGACCAAGAUGAAUCUUCCCCCGAUGCCUGUGACCAGAUGGGACAUUGUGUUAGUGCUAUCAGCACAGGAGCAUUGUCAGAAGCAUUUUCACUGUCUCCAAUGCUUGGAAAAUUGGGAAAGGUGUGGCUGAGCUGAAAGCGAAACCAAAACUGUAUAAAAGGAAAAAGAGACAAAAAAAGAAGGAAACUGGAAAUAAGGAGAGACAGUGAAAGAAGAGAUCAGACUAAAAGGACUUAAACUAGUUUUGUGAUUUGGACAUUAAUGAUGUCUCCCAAUCAGCAGCAGCUAUUUCUUGCUGUCCUUCUAGUCUUCAGUGGCCAUGUCAUGGGUAACAACCUGAUGACUGGUAACCUUUCACAAGUUACAUGUUCAAUUUCAGGCCAUGAUCCUGUUGUCAUAGGCACAGCCUGGGACUUUCCUAUUCCACUAAAGGAGUUAGACAUUCACGUGCAUUGAUUUUCAAUAGGAGUUGUGUGCCUACCUCUCUCUGACCCCUUUUAAAAUGUUUCUUUAACUCCCUACUUGUCCUCUAAACAGUUCCUUCUCAGAGGCCUGUUCAAUGACUGAGAUGAAUCCUCACCCUGGAGCCUGUGACCAAGUGGGCAUGUGUUGAUGUUGUCUGCACAGGAGCACUGUCAGGAGCAUCCUAGAAGCCCGCAAGAAACACUAAAUGAUGGGCAAGAUGGGACCUAACUGUGUUCUAUUUGAAGGAAUAUAAGUACCAAGAAGGUAGUGGGAUGGCUUAAGAGGGCAGAGGGGACAUAACUAGGAGUAUAAUUUAAUUAAUUUAAGAAAGGAAGCAUAUAAGACGAGUGUCAGGACAAAUCUUCCUAGCAAUGAAGCUGAACAAUAGAAUAUUCUCCCAAAGGAAGCCUCAUUGCUUGAGUCACUUAAAAGUUUCUCCGGCCAUUGCACCAAACACAAACUGUCCUUUGCAUAGAGUCUGGAUGUUAUAAUAGAUCUUUUCCAUCUCUAACUUAGGCUAUAAAAUCAGUCAUGGCCAAUCUUCUUGAAUGAUAGAUAGAAAUAAUUAUUCUUUGUGAGGAGCUUUUCUUAGCCCUCGGCUAGUUUGAAUGGACACCCCAUCCUCUCUCUCCCCUACCCCCAUUCCCACAUAACUGGCUCCAUGCCUUUGGGGCAGGAGAGAGGCUUCCACAGAGAGGAGUACUAUACUAAUGUAGGGCUUCCCUGUUUGGACAGGAACUGCGUCUACUGCAGAAGCAACACCCGCUCCACAUGUGGAGGGAGGCGGUGGCAGCCCCUUGUGUUACUUUGCAGUAUUGCUUUCUCCUCCAGACCUUUGAAACAUCAAAUGUCUUCACCAUCAUGACACCUAC